RNAcentral lists this ribosomal RNA (403 nucleotides) under bacterium. RNAcentral's name for it is "partial 16S ribosomal RNA". It matches the Rfam family "Bacterial small subunit ribosomal RNA", at positions 355 to 776 of the family's 1533-position model. The record is from RNAcentral.
UGGGGAAUAUUGCACAAUGGGGGAAACCCUGAUGCAGCGACGCCGCGUGAACGAAGAAGGUAUUCGUAUCGUAAAGUUCUGUCCUAUGGGAAGAUAAUGACAGUACCAUAGAAGAAAGCUCCGGCUAAAUACGUGCCAGCAGCCGCGGUAAUACGUAUGGAGCGAGCGUUGUCCGGAAUUAUUGGGCGUAAAGGGUACGCAGGCGGUUUAAUAAGUCGAAUGUUAAAGAUAGGGGCUCAACCCCGUAAAGCAUUGGAAACUGAUAAACUUGAGUAGUGGAGAGGAAAGUGGAAUUCCUAGUGUAGUGGUGAAAUACGUAGAUAUUAGGAGGAAUACCAGUAGCGAAGGCGACUUUCUGGACACAAACUGACGCUGAGGUACGAAAGCGUGGGGAGCAAACAGG